This 126-nucleotide ribosomal RNA is filed under the name Capronia sp. RNAcentral describes it as "partial large subunit ribosomal RNA". It matches the Rfam family "Eukaryotic large subunit ribosomal RNA", at positions 99 to 226 of the family's 3401-position model. The record is from RNAcentral. Lineage: Eukaryota; Fungi; Ascomycota; Eurotiomycetes; Chaetothyriales; Herpotrichiellaceae.
CGGUAACAGCUCAAAUUUGAAAUCUGACCUUCACGGGUCCGAGUUGUAAUUUGUAGAGGAUGUUUCGGAUAGGCUUUGGUUUAAGUUUCUUGGAACAGAACGUCAUAGAGGGUGAGAGUCCCGUCU